RNAcentral lists this ribosomal RNA (301 nucleotides) under uncultured bacterium. Its description in RNAcentral is "partial 16S ribosomal RNA". It matches the Rfam family "Bacterial small subunit ribosomal RNA", at positions 509 to 807 of the family's 1533-position model. The record is from RNAcentral.
CAGUAGCCACGGUAAAACGGAGGAUCCAAGCGUUAUCCGGAAUCAUUGGGUUUAAAGGGUCCGUAGGCGGUCUUGUAAGUCAGUGGUGAAAGCCCAUCGCUCAACGGUGGAACGGCCAUUGAUACUGCAGGACUUGAAUUAUUGGGAAGUAACUAGAAUAUGUAGUGUAGCGGUGAAAUGCUUAGAGAUUACAUGGAAUACCAAUUGCGAAGGCAGGUUACUACCAAUUGAUUGACGCUGAUGGACGAAAGCGUGGGUAGCGAACAGGAUUAGAUACCCCAGUAGUCCCUGUCUCUUAUAC